RNAcentral lists this ribosomal RNA (253 nucleotides) under uncultured bacterium. Its description in RNAcentral is "partial 16S ribosomal RNA". It matches the Rfam family "Bacterial small subunit ribosomal RNA", at positions 524 to 776 of the family's 1533-position model. The record is from RNAcentral.
UACAGAGGUCCCAAGCGUUAGGCGGAAUCACUGGGCUUAAAGCGUGUGUAGGCGGAUGCCUAAGUACCUUGUGAAAUCCCACGGCUCACCCGUGGAACUGCUUGGUAUACUGGGUGUCUUGAGCCACUUAGGGGCUACCGGAACAAAUGGUGGAGCGGUGAAAUGCGUAGAUAUCAUUUGGAACGCCAACGGUGAAAACAGGUAGCUGGGAGUGUGCUGACGCUGAGACACGAAAGCCAGGGGAGCAAACGGG